RNAcentral lists this ribosomal RNA (253 nucleotides) under uncultured bacterium. Its description in RNAcentral is "partial 16S ribosomal RNA". It matches the Rfam family "Bacterial small subunit ribosomal RNA", at positions 524 to 776 of the family's 1533-position model. The record is from RNAcentral.
GACGAAGGGGGCUAGCGUUGCUCGGAAUCACUGGGCGUAAAGCGCACGUAGGCGGAUUGCUAAGUCAGGGGUGAAAUCCUGGAGCUCAACUCCAGAACUGCCCUUGAUACUGGCGGUCUCGAGUCCGGGAGAGGUGAGUGGAACUGCGAGUGUAGAGGUGAAAUUCGUAGAUAUUCGCAAGACCACCAGUGGCGAAGGCGGCUUGCCAGAAUGCGCUCGACGGUGAGGGAUGAAAGCUGGGGGAGCAAACCGG